CCCUUAGAUGUUCUGGGCCGCACGCGCGCUACACUGUUCGACGCAGCGAGUCUUAACCUUGACCGAAAGGUUUGGGUAAUCUUCAGCAAAGUCGAACGUGAUGGGGAUCGAUCAUUGCAAUUAUUGAUCGUGAACGAGGAAUUCCUAGUAAGUGCAAGUCAUCAGCUUGCGCUGAUUACGUCCCUGCCCUUUGUACACACCGCCCGUCGCUACUACCGAUUGAAUGGUUUAGUGAGAUCUCUGGAUUGACGCUAGCUAGGGGGCGACCCUUGGCCAGACUGUUGAGAAACUGCUCAAACUUGAUCAUUUAGAGGAAGUAAAAGUCGUAACA
Molecule: ribosomal RNA, 331 nt
Filed under: uncultured eukaryote
Lineage: Eukaryota
Description: partial 18S ribosomal RNA
Rfam family: Eukaryotic small subunit ribosomal RNA
Source: RNAcentral